UUUUCAUUAACAUGUGCAGUUUUCAGGCGGUACCGCUUAGAUGGUGUGUUCUCGAUGCUCCCUCGAUCAAGUGCUCUGGUUCUUUCCUGACGCUUUUCCCCCACUCGGGGUUCUAUAUAUAUUGCAUCAGCCCGAUGUUUCUCUUUGUCCUGCGUGUGGUGCUAUCUGAUCGUCAUUAGUGAUGGCCCGUGAUGGUUCUGGUCGCGGGUGUCCCCGUCGUCGGGGUCGCCCCCCCGGGAUUCGAGCAGCCGUUAUUAAUCGUGUGCGUACUGGGGGAGGUGCUGCCGUUGCUCGAGGUCGUGCUGCAAAUAGGGUCGAGGCUGCUGUUGAUGAUCAACUGUUGGGAGUUCGUCCAUCACGUCGGGGCCUUCCUGCAGUACAGUUGCCGGGGUUGGAUCUAGAGCUGAUAAUUUGUCUGCUGAUGACUUAUGCCGUCGACGUCGGGAGAUUCGUCCGGGAAACUGCCCCGUUAACCCCACAGUUGGCAAUUAUGUGUUUUGUUGCUUUGUUUGGUUGAUGUAGGUACUUUAUUUAGGCAUUGCUGAUAUUAUUUUUUUGUAGGUCAUCCUGCUAUUUCUUUUGUCAGUCCUUCGCAUGUGUUCCACGGUAAUUGUUUUUUAGGAUUAUAUUAUUGUAUCGAUGUGAUUUUAGGCAAAUUUUGCCUGUCAUCGAGGGCGGUACGAAAGAGGAUAUUAUUGAUGCAUCAUUGAUUUCUUCUUUGCUUUGGCCAUACAUUAAAGUUCGUAAACUUCAUACAAAUAUGCGGCUUUGCAAUGCGUUCUAAGGGUGAUGAUUCUUCUCCGUCAUGUAUUUCUAUCCCUGAAGAUAUUUUGUUAUUUCCCACAAUAGAUCAUAUGGAAGCUGCUGUGGACAACGUAUACGAUAUGUUCUAUUUGAAGUAUAAUGAUGCUGAUUAUUUAUCACGCCGUGUUAUUGUUUGUCCGACCAAUUCAGUUGUGGAUAAAAUAAAUGAUGUUGUCUUUAA
This is a long non-coding RNA of Aegilops tauschii subsp. strangulata, 985 nucleotides long. RefSeq lists it as uncharacterized. Lineage: Eukaryota; Viridiplantae; Streptophyta; Magnoliopsida; Poales; Poaceae. The record is from RefSeq and is a predicted model, not a curated record.